Molecule: long non-coding RNA, 358 nt
Filed under: Phascolarctos cinereus (koala)
Lineage: Eukaryota; Metazoa; Chordata; Mammalia; Diprotodontia; Phascolarctidae
Description: lncRNA (ENSPCIG00000031762.1)
Source: RNAcentral
GUUAUGGUGAGCGUUGAAUGGAGUAAGUACUGCCCAGCAACAAAUGGUUGGAAUGUGGGGCUUUGGUUUGGGGUUUUGUAAGGAGAGAAAGAUUGCACGUGCCAGUCAAGCAAAAAGGCCGGAAUGGAGGCUAGAUCUGGGCACUGUCCUUGACUGCUGUCUCCAUCCAAACAGGAGGAAGGCGGAUGGAAAGAACGGACUGAGGCUUGGGGCCCAUCUCUCCUGGAGACCUAAGAUAAUGAAGUGCUUUGCCUUCCCUCCUGUCUCUCCUUCUGGCCACAGACAACAGCUGUUUACUCCAGCGUUUCUCUGUUCUUCUUGCAGCCUGGCUGAUUAUAGGACAGCAAGCAGCCCAUGA